AGAGUUUGAUCCUGGCUCAGGACGAACGCUGGCGGCGUGCCUAAUACAUGCAAGUAGAACGCUGAAGAGAGGAGCUUGCUCUUCUUGGAUGAGUUGCGAACGGGUGAGUAACGCGUAGGUAACCUGCCUUGUAGCGGGGGAUAACUAUUGGAAACGAUAGCUAAUACCGCAUAACAAUGGAUGACACAUGUCAUUUAUUUGAAAGGGGCAAUUGUUCCACUACAAGAUGGACCUGCGUUGUAUUAGCUAGUAGGUGAGGUAAUGGCUCACCUAGGCGACGAUACAUAGCCGACCUGAGAGGGUGAUCGGCCACACUGGGACUGAGACACGGCCCAGACUCCUACGGGAGGCAGCAGUAGGGAAUCUUCGGCAAUGGGGGCAACCCUGACCGAGCAACGCCGCGUGAGUGAAGAAGGUUUUCGGAUCGUAAAGCUCUGUUGUAAGUCAAGAACGGGUGUGAGAGUGGAAAGUUCACACUGUGACGGUAGCUUACCAGAAAGGGACGGCUAACUACGUGCCAGCAGCCGCGGUAAUACGUAGGUCCCGAGCGUUGUCCGGAUUUAUUGGGCGUAAAGCGAGCGCAGGCGGUUUGAUAAGUCUGAAGUUAAAGGCUGUGGCUCAACCAUAGUUCGCUUUGGAAACUGUCAAACUUGAGUGCAGAAGGGGAGAGUGGAAUUCCAUGUGUAGCGGUGAAAUGCGUAGAUAUAUGGAGGAACACCGGUGGCGAAAGCGGCUCUCUGGUCUGUAACGGACGCUGAGGCUCGAAAGCGUGGGGAGCGAACAGGAUUAGAUACCCUGGUAGUCCACGCCGUAAACGAUGAGUGCUAGGUGUUGGAUCCUUUCCGGGAUUCAGUGCCGCAGCUAACGCAUUAAGCACUCCGCCUGGGGAGUACGACCGCAAGGUUGAAACUCAAAGGAAUUGACGGGGGCCCGCACAAGCGGUGGAGCAUGUGGUUUAAUUCGAAGCAACGCGAAGAACCUUACCAGGUCUUGACAUCCCGAUGCUAUUUCUAGAGAUAGAAAGUUACUUCGGUACAUCGGUGACAGGUGGUGCAUGGUUGUCGUCAGCUCGUGUCGUGAGAUGUUGGGUUAAGUCCCGCAACGAGCGCAACCCCUAUUGUUAGUUGCCAUCAUUCAGUUGGGCACUCUAGCGAGACUGCCGGUAAUAAACCGGAGGAAGGUGGGGACGACGUCAAAUCAUCAUGCCCCUUAUGACCUGGGCUACACACGUGCUACAAUGGUUGGUACAACGAGUUGCGAGUCGGUGACGGCGAGCUAAUCUCUUAAAGCCAAUCUCAGUUCGGAUUGUAGGCUGCAACUCGCCUACAUGAAGUCGGAAUCGCUAGUAAUCGCGGAUCAGCACGCCGCGGUGAAUACGUUCCCGGGCCUUGUACACACCGCCCGUCACACCACGAGAGUUUGUAACACCCGAAGUCGGUGAGGUAACCUUUUGGAGCCAGCCGCCUAAGGUGGGACAGAUGAUUGGGGUGAAGUCGUAACAAGGUA
Molecule: ribosomal RNA, 1506 nt
Filed under: metagenome
Description: bacterial SSU rRNA
Rfam family: Bacterial small subunit ribosomal RNA
Source: RNAcentral